RNAcentral lists this ribosomal RNA (252 nucleotides) under Triticum aestivum (bread wheat). RNAcentral describes it as "partial small subunit ribosomal RNA". The record is from RNAcentral. Lineage: Eukaryota; Viridiplantae; Streptophyta; Magnoliopsida; Poales; Poaceae.
AGGGUAUUCGUGCGUGGAUGGCAGCUCAGGAUCAGCCUCAUGAAAAUCUUAUAUUCCCUAAGGAGGUUCUACCACGUGGAAAUGCUCUUUAAUUGAACUUUCGUUUUAGCUGGUCGUGACCAAGAAACCACCGGCUUUGCUUGGUGGGCUGGGAAUGCCAAACUUAUCAAUUUGUCCGGUAAACUGCUUGGAGCUCAUGUAGCCCAUGCCAGAUUAAUCGUAGCGCUGCUCCUCCUAAUACCGUUCUCCUAG